RNAcentral lists this ribosomal RNA (499 nucleotides) under uncultured bacterium. RNAcentral's name for it is "bacterial SSU rRNA". It matches the Rfam family "Bacterial small subunit ribosomal RNA", at positions 25 to 518 of the family's 1533-position model. The record is from RNAcentral.
CAGGAUGAACGCUAGCGGCAGGCUUAACACAUGCAAGUCGAGGGGCAUCGGGAGUAGCAAUACUUGCCGGCGACCGGCGCAAGGGUGCGUAACGCGUGAGCAACAUGCCCGUAUCAGGGGGAUAAUCCAUGGAAACGUGGUCUAAUACCCCAUAGUAAUUAUGUAAGGCAUCUUAUAUAAUUUAAAGCUUUGGUGGAUACGGAUUGGCUCGCGUGACAUUAGCUAGAUGGUAAGGUAACGGCUUACCAUGGCUACGAUGUCUAGGGGUUCUGAGAGGAAGGUCCCCCACACUGGAACUGAGACACGGUCCAGACUCCUACGGGAGGCAGCAGUGAGGAAUAUUGGACAAUGGAUGGAAAUCUGAUCCAGCCAUGCCGCGUGCCAGGAAGACGGCCCUAUGGGUUGUAAACUGCUUUUGUAUGGGAGCAAUAAGGGCUACGCGUAGUCCGAUGAGAGUACCAUACGAAUAAGCACCGGCUAACUCCGUGCCAGCCGCUGC